Molecule: long non-coding RNA, 374 nt
Filed under: Vulpes vulpes (red fox)
Lineage: Eukaryota; Metazoa; Chordata; Mammalia; Carnivora; Canidae
Description: lncRNA (ENSVVUG00000020022.1)
Source: RNAcentral
CUAAGCACUAAGCAACAGACUCAUCCAAAGCAAUUCCUUGUCUGAGUCAAGGCCAUGUCAAUGUAUUAACACUCUGUUUACUUCAGACCAAAGUUCAGAUGAAUCAGAGAACAUCCAUGUGCCUCUGACUUCCACUUCAUGAUGCUCCUUUGGUUUAGUUAUUGAGGGAGACCCUGGCCCAGAAAACUCUAAGGAUUGAUUGCUCUUGAAGGCACAAGAAAUCACAAUUGCAAUUACCUGGCCCCAGAAGAUAUGUGUGGAUGUUGGUUUUCUGCGUGGGGCAAGCAUGCAUGCAGCAUGAAACUACAUACCCCAAGUCAGAGCCAACUCAUGGAGGCUAGCCCCUAAGAGCAGUUAUUGAUGCAGCCUAUGGC